GUAGGGAAUAUUGGACAAUGGGCGAAAGCCUGAUCCAGCCAUGCCGCGUGGUAGAUGAAGGCCCUCUGGGUUGUAAAUACCUUUUAUCUGGGAAGAAAUAUCUCGUUCUCGAGAAACUGACGGUACCAGAUGAAUAAGCACCGGCUAACUCCGUGCCAGCAGCCGCGGUAAUACGGAGGGUGCAAGCGUUAUCCGGAUUUACUGGGUUUAAAGGGUGCGUAGGCGGAAUUGUAAGUCAGUGGUGAAAGCCCCGAGCUCAACUUGGGAACUGCCAUUGAUACUGCUUUUCUUGAAUACGAUUGAGGUAAGCGGAAUGUUGCAUGUAGCGGUGAAAUGCUUAGAUAUGUUACAGAACACCAAUUGCGAAGGCAGCUUACUAAGUCGUGAUUGACGCUGAGGCACGAAAGCGUGGGUAGCAAACAGGAUUAGAAACCCCUGUAGUCC
This 444-nucleotide ribosomal RNA is filed under the name uncultured bacterium. RNAcentral describes it as "partial 16S ribosomal RNA". It matches the Rfam family "Bacterial small subunit ribosomal RNA", at positions 354 to 796 of the family's 1533-position model. The record is from RNAcentral.